AUUGAACGCUGGCGGCAUGCCUUACACAUGCAAGUCGAACGGUAACAGGUCUUCGGAUGCUGACGAGUGGCGAACGGGUGAGUAAUACAUCGGAACGUGCCUAGUAGUGGGGGAUAACUACUCGAAAGAGUGGCUAAUACCGCAUGAGAUCUACGGAUGAAAGCAGGGGAUCGCAAGAUCUUGUGCUACUAGAGCGGCCGAUGGCAGAUUAGGUAGUUGGUGGGAUAAAAGCUUACCAAGCCGACGAUCUGUAGCUGGUCUGAGAGGACGAUCAGCCACACUGGGACUGAGACACGGCCCAGACUCCUACGGGAGGCAGCAGUGGGGAAUUUUGGACAAUGGGCGCAAGCCUGAUCCAGCAAUGCCGCGUGCAGGAUGAAGGCCUUCGGGUUGUAAACUGCUUUUGUACGGUACGAAAAGCCCUGGGUUAAUACCCUGGGGUCAUGACGGUACCGUAAGAAUAAGCACCGGCUAACUACGUGCCAGCCGCCGCAGUAA
Molecule: ribosomal RNA, 498 nt
Filed under: uncultured bacterium
Lineage: Bacteria
Description: partial 16S ribosomal RNA
Rfam family: Bacterial small subunit ribosomal RNA
Source: RNAcentral